Molecule: transfer RNA, 72 nt
Filed under: Ictidomys tridecemlineatus (thirteen-lined ground squirrel)
Lineage: Eukaryota; Metazoa; Chordata; Mammalia; Rodentia; Sciuridae
Description: Spermophilus tridecemlineatus (thirteen-lined ground squirrel) tRNA
Rfam family: tRNA
About the family: Transfer RNA (tRNA) molecules are approximately 80 nucleotides in length. Their secondary structure includes four short double-helical elements and three loops (D, anti-codon, and T loops).
Source: Rfam by way of RNAcentral
UGGGAUGUAACUUGGUGACAGAGUGCUUGCUUAGCAUGCAAAAGACCCUGGGUUCCAUUCCCAGUGUUGCAA